UUGGAAUUGGACGCUGCACCUGUCUGGGAGUCUAAAUGAGCAAUUUAAAAGUAAUUAUGCCGAGUAAACUCCUGAUCCAGUGCCAUUGCCCAUCUUUGAACCGUCAGUAUAAGUAUGGGGUCACCAUUACCAUCUUCUGAUAAGACUCUGGUCUGCCAAUGACCUAGAUCAAUUUGCGUACUAUGCUUUUAUAUUUUUCUUGCUCUAAGACACAUUUUUGGGCCACUUACUAGUAAAAAAAUUUUGCUGAAACUGGUAAGACUGUUGCAUUCACUGCUGAUGGCGCUGCUGUGACUGAUGCUUACAAAAGUUAUUGAGUAAUUUCAAACUCGUCUUUGGCGGCAACGAACAUCUUCGUUUUGCUGAAAAACUUGUCCGCAGAUGUUCUAUUCUGAGUGAUUGAGCAAUCGAAGAAAAGCAGUUAGACAGGUCAGCCGUACAAAGCACAAGUAUGGUAGCUUACUUAGGUAAUAUUUGUAUAUAUAUAUGUAUGUAUGUAUGUAUGUAUGAGUAAGUAUAAAACCUGCGAAUGAGUUAACUGGCACUUAGUCAGCCAAGGCGACCAGUUAGACAGCGUGCCAGCCAGCUAGUUGUAAUCAGCAAGGCAAGGUAAUCAGCAACUAGUUAGUCAGCCGGUUUGUGCGCCUUCAGUCCACCACUACCACCACCAUCAUGAACCGCCAGCUCCACAAACAGCAGAUUUCUACUCGCCCUUUUAACUACUGCAGAUGCAUAGAUGUCGAUCUAAACGAUUCACACAUGGCGUGGCGUGUCGUGUCUGCCAUAGUACGCCCGGUUACUUGGCGAUUUCAGAGGGCUGAGACCUUAGAAAUGUGACAGCGAAACAUAGGCAUUUACGCUACCUAUACAUAUGCACAUAUAUUCGCUUAUCGGUUAGAAUUCUAAUCAGCAGAAACUAUUUGAACGAGCAGAUGAAAGUUAUCUACAAACGCAUACAGAAGCGUUAAA
Long non-coding RNA from Anastrepha ludens (Mexican fruit fly), 969 nucleotides. RefSeq lists it as uncharacterized. The record is from RefSeq and is a predicted model, not a curated record. The transcript is spliced from 3 exons. NCBI's taxonomy places the organism in Eukaryota, Metazoa, Arthropoda, Insecta, Diptera, Tephritidae.